This 496-nucleotide ribosomal RNA is filed under the name uncultured bacterium. RNAcentral's name for it is "partial 16S ribosomal RNA". It matches the Rfam family "Bacterial small subunit ribosomal RNA", at positions 28 to 506 of the family's 1533-position model. The record is from RNAcentral.
GAUGAACGCUGGCGGCGUGCCUAAUACAUGCAAGUCGAGCGAACAGACGAGGAGCUUACUCCUCUGACGUUAGCGGCGGACGGGUGAGUAACACGUGGAUAACCUACCUAUAAGACUGGGAUAACUUCGGGAAACCGGAGCUAAUACCGGAUAACAUGUUGAACCGCAUGGUUCAACAGUGAAAGACGGUCUUGCUGUCACUUAUAGAUGGAUCCGCGUCGCAUUAGCUAGUUGGUAAGGUAACGGCUUACCAAGGCAACGAUGCGUAGCCGACCUGAGAGGGUGAUCGGCCACACUGGAACUGAGACACGGUCCAGACUCCUACGGGAGGCAGCAGUAGGGAAUCUUCCGCAAUGGGCGAAAGCCUGACGGAGCAACGCCGCGUGAGUGAAGAAGGUCUUCGGAUCGUAAAACUCUGUUAUUAGGGAAGAACAAAUGUGUAAGUAACUAUGCACGUCUUGACGGUACCUAAUCAGAAAGCCACGGCUAACUACGU